Molecule: transfer RNA, 91 nt
Filed under: Rhodospirillaceae bacterium
Lineage: Bacteria; Pseudomonadati; Pseudomonadota; Alphaproteobacteria; Rhodospirillales; Rhodospirillaceae
Description: tRNA-Ser
Rfam family: tRNA
About the family: Transfer RNA (tRNA) molecules are approximately 80 nucleotides in length. Their secondary structure includes four short double-helical elements and three loops (D, anti-codon, and T loops).
Source: RNAcentral
GGAGGGGUGGCCGAGUGGCUGAAGGCACACCUUUGCUAAAGGUGCAUACCCCAAAAGGGUAUCGUGGGUUCGAAUCCCACCCCCUCCGCCA